RNAcentral lists this small nucleolar RNA (109 nucleotides) under Carlito syrichta (Philippine tarsier). RNAcentral describes it as "Small nucleolar RNA SNORA41 (ENSTSYG00000025033.2)". Lineage: Eukaryota; Metazoa; Chordata; Mammalia; Primates; Tarsiidae. The record is from RNAcentral.
GGCUUAAGCCACUGCGCCUGGCCAAAAAGCAUAUUUUAAGCAUAUUAACACGAUUAAACAUCUCUUUCUUAGCAAAACAGAAAGUAGGUAUAUGCGUGACAAUACAAGA